This 502-nucleotide ribosomal RNA is filed under the name uncultured Glomeromycotina. RNAcentral describes it as "partial small subunit ribosomal RNA". It matches the Rfam family "Eukaryotic small subunit ribosomal RNA", at positions 591 to 1092 of the family's 1831-position model. Lineage: Eukaryota; Fungi; Glomeromycota. The record is from RNAcentral.
CCAAUAGCGUAUAUUAAAGUUGUUGCAGUUAAAAAGCUCGUAGUUGAAUUUCGGGGUUCAUACGUUGGUCGGGCUUUUUGGUCUGUACUAGCGUAAUGGAUUCCUACCUUCUGAAUAACCGGCAUGUCAUUAAUUUGGUGCGCCGGGGAAGCAGGACUGUUACCUUGAAAAAAUUAGAGUGCUUAAAGCAGGCUAUCGCCUGAAUACAUUAGCAUGGAAUAAUGAAAUAGGACGGCAUGGUUCUAUUUUGUUGGUUUCUAGGAUCACCGUAAUGAUUAAUAGGGAUAGUUGGGGGCAUUAGUAUUCAAUUGUCAGAGGUGAAAUUCUUGGAUUUAUUGAAGACUAACUUCUGCGAAAGCAUUUGCCAAGGAUGUUUUCAUUAAUCAAGAACGAAAGUUAGGGGAUCGAAGACGAUCAGAUACCGUCGUAGUCUUAACCAUAAACUAUGCCGACUAGGGAUCGGACGAUGUUAAUUUUUUAAUGACUCGUUCGGCGCCUUACG